CAAGACUUGGAGCAGAGAAUUCUUGCAAGGUCUUUUGUGCCAUCGCUUCAGCAAUUGGUAAUUACACACGUUUGGUUGUGGCUAUGUCCAUGAAAAUCUUCACACAAAAAUUGAUUCCAUCAGUGCAUGAAGAGGGAGAGAUGGUUGGCGUGAUGGAAAUUUGAGAGGGAGUGGAGGUUCAUGGUCUGUGGUAUUGGUCAUGAAUCUCAAUGGGAAAGAAGACAAGCACAUAGAGUCGCUAGCUCUUUCUCCAUGGUCCUUCCUUUCUCGGCACUUCAACCCCGCUUCCUCGCCCCUGCCCUGUGCCAGUCGCCAGCGUGGGUAAGCUUCAAGUGACAACUGAAGCAACGCUGCCGCCAUCCUAUAUGCCAGGUCUUCAAGUGCCCACAACGGCCACAAGGUACUAGAGGUGUAUAGCUGCUCCGACGAUCAUGAUGCUCUUGGCUACCAGUAAUAAGAAGGAUGAAAGCCAAUAUAUGAUGUAUUUCAGGCAAACUUUUGGACUUAACUUGCAGUACAUGGCCAUAGUGAAUGUACCUAUUUAAAUAGAAAUUCGUUUAUGAAAAAUACAUUGUAGAUGACAUAGGUACGUAACUGACUGAUUUAACUAUUCAUAUAUAUUGUUGAUAGUAAAUCUUGCCAUGGACAA
Sorghum bicolor (sorghum) is the source of this 649-nucleotide long non-coding RNA. RefSeq lists it as uncharacterized. The record is from RefSeq and is a predicted model, not a curated record. The transcript is spliced from 4 exons. NCBI's taxonomy places the organism in Eukaryota, Viridiplantae, Streptophyta, Magnoliopsida, Poales, Poaceae.